GAUGAACGCUGGCGGCGUGCCUAAUACAUGCAAGUCGAGCGAACAGACGAGGAGCUUGCUCCUCUGACGUUAGCGGCGGACGGGUGAGUAACACGUGGAUAACCUACCUAUAAGACUGGGAUAACUUCGGGAAACCGGAGCUAAUACCGGAUAAUAUAUUGAACCGCAUGGUUCAAUAGUGAAAGACGGUUUUGCUGUCACUUAUAGAUGGAUCCGCGCCGCAUUAGCUAGUUGGUAAGGUAACGGCUUACCAAGGCAACGAUGCGUAGCCGACCUGAGAGGGUGAUCGGCCACUCUGGAACUGAGACACGGUCCAGACUCCUACGGGAGGCAGCAGUAGGGAAUCUUCCGCAAUGGGCGAAAGCCUGACGGAGCAACGCCGCGUGAGUGAUGAAGGUCUUCGGAUCGUAAAACUCUGUUAUUAGGGAAGAACAAAUGUAUAAGUAACUAUGCACGUCUUGACGGUACCUAAUCAGAAAGCCACGGCUAACUACGUG
RNAcentral lists this ribosomal RNA (497 nucleotides) under uncultured bacterium. Its description in RNAcentral is "partial 16S ribosomal RNA". It matches the Rfam family "Bacterial small subunit ribosomal RNA", at positions 28 to 507 of the family's 1533-position model. The record is from RNAcentral.